GCGUCUGUAGCUCAGGUGGAUAGAGCAGCGGUUUCCUAAACCGCGUGGCGGGGGUUCGAGUCCCUCCAGGCGCACCA
RNAcentral lists this transfer RNA (77 nucleotides) under Neomoorella glycerini. RNAcentral's name for it is "Moorella glycerini tRNA-Arg". It matches the Rfam family "tRNA". Rfam says of the family: Transfer RNA (tRNA) molecules are approximately 80 nucleotides in length. Lineage: Bacteria; Bacillati; Bacillota; Clostridia; Neomoorellales; Neomoorellaceae. The record is from RNAcentral.